UCUGAUACCACUUUUGUCACGCCCUGAACCUGGGGGCGAGACUGACACCCAGUGCCUCACUUAUUCUUGCGUACUAACCUGCAACUAAGGGACUCUGAACAUAUGAUGUCAUCCUUUGGCCAUGGGACACAUUGCAAGAUAAUUGCUAAUGCUGACUAAAUGUCAAUAUAUAACUGGGCCGACAAUGCCAUCAUAACUAUUACAAACCAACCAAAUAUACAUACAAGACCUGCAAGCCCAACAUAUUGCACUAAUUGACAGGAUAUGUCUACAAUCCUCUACUGUUAGAUAUACUGUGAUCGGAACAGCUACCCAACCUACUCAUAACAUAUAUAUAUACAAGAUGUACAUAAAGCUCUAGACCCGAAAACUCCGAAAGGCUUGGAGCUUACCGAUCAAGCUGAACUCGGGCAAUACCUAUUGAGGAGGCCUACCCGCCUGUCUGUUUGACCUACACGCAUGAAAUGCAGCGCCCCGAGAUAACGGACGUCAGUAUGAAAUAAUGUACUGAAUAUGUAUAGAAAUAUACUGAAAGCUGAAACUGAACUGAUAAUAUAAUAAUUGCAAGUAGCUGGAAGUCAAAGAUAAUCUGAAGAUAUGCUUACCUGCUGAUACUGACUCAACUCUCUUAAUAUAGUAAGUAAAAUAGCUGGUCGACCCUAUAAGGUUCGGUAUAUAUAUAUGUAUGUAUAUAUAACUGCUCUAUCAUAGUAGGCUCACUCAUAAGCUCUCAGCCAUACUAGGCUCUGUAUCUUGGCCAUGCUAGGCUCGCUCAUGCGCGCUCGGCCACAGUAGGCUCGGUAUAUAACUUACCAUCUGAUCAGAGGUUGCCCAAUAGGGUGUUGAUAUCCAAUUUUUCCCUAUGUAUUUUAUAUAUGCAAAAAACUUUCAAAAUAGCAUAUAUAAGUAUGCCCAAGUGUUUUUGUAUUUUUCCUAAUUUUAAAAAAAAAUUGAAAUCAAUUUAUUGCCCAUUUUAGCAUUACAAAAACUAAUAAUUAUUCCCAAAAUCAUCAUUUUGGUGAAUAACUUAUUUUAUUCUCACAUUUAUACCAAAAUAUAGCUAAUAUAAUUUUUACACAUUUUUAGAAAUUUAUUUAGUAUUUUUAAGGCUAUAUUGCAUAUAAUUGCAAUUUUAGCCUAUUUUAAGAUUUAAUUGCAUUUUAUACUUAUAAAAUUGGUUCCAGUAUUUAAUGUAAUAUUUAUAUAUUAUUAAUUAAGCUAGUACCUUUAAUUUAUUUUUCAGAAAGCAUGUUACUAUUUUUAUAAAAUAAAAAAAGGGGAAAAAAUUGGCUAUUUAAAAUCUAGCCCUAUUUCAUGUCAAUUAUAGCCCAAAUCAACCCCUACAAUUAAACCCCAAUUCCAAUUCAAACGAACCAGCCCAAUUCCUAAAAUUACCCGCCCCUAACCCGUUUAUUUUACCCGCCCAGCUUCCCCUUUUGAUCCAGGCCGUUGAUCAUUUUGAUCAACGGCCAGAAUUCCCUCUUUUCUUUUUAAUUCAAUAACCCCCACCAACCCUAUCCCAUUUCUCACCAAAUGCUGCCUCUGAAACCCCUCCCCUUUCCCAAAUUCUCUCGAACAUUCCCUAACCCUAGUCGCCUCUCACCGUUUUCAACCUGGAUACCCACCGGAAUUCAUGGCUUCUCCGGCCAUGGGAGCCCUAUACUCACCUAUCCUUGCUCUUAUACGCUUGAUACUAGAAGAUUCGAGGCCUGACCUUGAAGGUUUUCGCCCAAACCUCUACUGAUUCAAGGUUUCACGGCCAUCUCCGGCUUUGCUCCGGCGUAUCCUGGUCUUAUGAGCCUGUCUCUAACUUCUCCGACUCAGAUCAGACCUCUUCAAAGCCUUUCUCGUUUUAGGGUUCCUCUGAAACCCUAACUAUUCGAGGUUUUCUCCGAUUUUUCUUAGAUCUGUUAUAUAUCUAUGCUCUAUUUGAGUUGUUGAAUGAUUCUCCCAACCUUUCUUUCAAAAAUUACUUUUAAAGUUACUUCUUUCUGAUUUAGGGUUUUCUGAAAAUGUUCGAAAUGUUUCUCUGACUUUUCUUUUCCUUUUCUUUGUGUAUAUUUGUCUAUACUAUGUUCUUAUGUUUUCUUUUCUACCACACAUGUUCUUCUAUUGUGUUCUUAUGUUUUCCCGUUAUCAUGCGUGUUCUUCUACUAUGUUCCGUUCUUUCUUCUACUGUGUUUCUAUGCUAUGUUCUAACAUGCUUUUCUGAUAUGUUUCGCCUACUGUACCCUUCUACCAUGUUCUUAAGUGUUUAAUGUUUCACAUCUACUUUACCUUGUUCUAAGUUCCUUCUAAAAGAUCCGUUUAAGCAUGUUCUCCUCUACUGUUUAUUCUACUCUCAUUAUGCUUCGAAUUAGUUUCUUCACUCUGUUUGCUUGGAACUUUCAACGGCAUUUGCUUGUUUUCUCAUGAGUUUCUGAAAGAAAUCUCUGAGCCUGUUUUGACUACUUGCUUCCUCACCUCUAUACUCUACUCGAGGUGGAAACCCUAGAAUUGGGGGUUCUACUUUACCUUGUUCUAAGUUCCUUCUUAAAGAUCCGUUUAAGCAUGUUCUCCUCUACUGUUUCUUCUACUCUCAUUAUGCUUCGAAUUAGUUUCUUCACUCUGUUUGCUUGGAACUUUCAACGGUAUUUGCUUGUUUUCUUAUGAGUUUCUGAAAGAAAUCUCUAAGCCUGUUUUGACUACUUGCUUCCUCACCUUUGUACUCUACUCGAGGUGGAAACCCUAGAAUUGGAGGUUCUGCCGAGGUUUGAUCUUGUGAUUAAACUAGGGUUCUAUUUUAGAGCCCUUAACUCUCUCAGACUAAUCUUUGAGUCUAUGAACUAAGUCUGAAUUUCUUUGUUUACACACAAUUCUGAGCUUUUUAAAUUCUUCUACACUAGAUUCUUCUACUGAUUGACAUGACAAUCUCUCUUUCAUGUUUAAGCAUGUCUGUAUGAUUUUAUAUGUGUGAUGAAUCUUUCUUCAAAAAGGUUUUCCAACUUAUGAUUGAUUCAGAAUCCCUUUUUAAUAGGUCUGAUUGAUUGUUACUGAUUUUCCUUAAGUGAAACCUUUCUUCACCUUUUUUGACUGGGUUCAUUCAAACAAAAUCUUUGGACUUCUGAUUUCUUGGCUGUUAACUAAUUUCCUUGCCUUAUUUGCACAAACCGUGUACUGUCAAGACUUUGUCCUUAAAUAGACAUUUAUGUAUUUACCCCUAUUAUACUACUCUGAAAAUGUUUGAUUAAUCUCUUUCCUUAAUUAGUUUUACCCGUUUGAAAUCUGAAUCCCUUAAUUAAAGGUAAACCUUGUGUAAUUGAUUGACAAUCAGUCUUCAAAUUAUUUUCUUACCUUAUUUCUGCUUGCUUUCUACACUAUAAAAGGCACGACCUUUUUUCAUAAACACUCUUUCAACUCAACACUUUACACUACAAACUUCACAAUACACAACUCUUUCUGAACUCUUACUCACACUGAUAGUAUUCUGUCUUCCUAUCUGCACUUUGGCUCUUACAAGACUACUGCUUUCUCUUUGUUUGUUUUCUCUGAAACUAGUAUGUCCUAAUUUUAGUUUCAGCAUCACCCCAAUGUGUUUACUUAAAAUUUUUAUAUCCAUUGCUACCUUACUGUUUAUGUAGAGUUCAAUAUUUAACUUAAUAUGCCUAUGUUCUACUGCCUGUUUCUAAUGUGAAUCUUUGCUCCCUACCCCAUUACCCCUAUGUGUUUGUAAGUGAUGACUUAGGGCAUGGCAACAUGAGUUGUUGCCCAUGACUUGAGUUCUGAACCAGUGAGGUCCUAACCUCUAACAGGCUGGAGGGUGUGCCAACAUAUCCCAUUGCUGAGUAUGCCCAUCACCCUGCUUCUCUUGUGUCCUUGCAAAUUCCUUACUCCUCUAUACCCCCAUAUGCACUGAUUUUUAAGUUAUUCCUUUUCCCCCCUUUUUCCCCUUUCAAAAUUUCACUUAUGCACUUGCACUCUCUCCUAGCUUAUAGGUUCUGCCCCCUCUUGUGAGCCUUGCCUUGGGACCUUGAGUUCUCUCUGAACUUGGACACUUGAGGGCUGGCCCUUCCACACUGCACUAUGUUCUUGAUCUGGUAACAUUUGGGUGUGAGCACUGCACGGAGUCCGUAUGAGGCUCUUAGGGAACUCUGACACAUCCAAAGACGAGAGAAAGGCUUUGGAUCAUGAUCUUUGGAGUUGGUUCAUCUCAUAUUUCAGACAUGGAGUCUGAAUUAGGCUCCCCUUGGUUGUACUUUUAAUUUCUGAUGUAAUUUUGCUUUUCUUAUUUCAUUCUGGGAUGUAAUAACUUGUGAUAUCUAUUGGGGAUGUCUAGUGGAAAGGGAUGGGAAUAACUGUAUGCAAAGGGUAGAUAACUUGCCUAUAGGAAUCCUUGAUCUCUGCAUAUCAUGUAGACAUCCUGCCCAUGAGAUUUUUUUCUGAAUUUAUGCACUCACAUAUAGAUACCAUGUCUAUGGAAUUCUACAUUCGCAUAUAGAUAUCAUGUCUAUAAGAACUUCUGCAUUCUCAUCUUUAGAUAACUUGCCUAUGGGAAUCCCUGAUUUCUGCAUAUCAUGUAGACAUCCUGCCUAUGAGAUUUUCUUUCUGAAUUUAUGCACUCACAUACAUAUACCAUGUUUAUAGAAUUCUGCAUUCACAUAUAGAUACCAUGUCUAUAAGAAUUUAUGCAUUCUCAUCUUUAGAUAACAUGCAUAUAAGAAUUUCUACAUAGAUACCAUGUCUAUAGGAUGCACAUGCAUGUAGACAAUAUGCCUAUAAGACCUUUCUGAUUCUUGUAUACUCAUCUCUCAUCAGGCAAACAUAAUUAUAGGCCUUAAUAAUCAGUGUGAUCGGAUAUCGCGUUCGUAAUAAAAGAUGCAACACAUAGAAAACAUGCUUGUAGGGUUCCUAAUCAAAAUUCGAAUCGCCUCACUCGUUUGUAAGCUUUCCGUAGUAAUGCUUUAUCAACUGCAGAACUUGUACUCUUCUAUUAAAAACUAGCAACUUUUUUUCCUAAAUCAAUCUGUAAUCAGUUUACCUCUUUGUUUAUGAAACCAGUAGAUAUCAUGCCUAAAGGUUUCGUCUAACACUUACACAAGCCUUAGGAUAAAAGUUAUAACUGCACCAGUCUUUGUUAAUCACAACCAGUGGGCAGGUCUAAUUCGGACUUCUUAUCUGAAAACAUGUGAUAAAUCAGCCUGCUUUCCCCUUUUAAGUUUUAUCAGACCCUAAUCAGUACGUGCAAGACAUGCUAAACUAGAUGCUUUCUUUGAUUUAAGGAGGCCUGUUUGAGCCGUAUCUGCUUAUGUGCUUGCCCAGUACUUGCUAUAUAUAUUUUGAUUGUCGCCUAAGAAUUUUGUCCUUUUUAAAACUAUAAAACCUCAAACCCCUUCCCUUUUAGGAUUAGUAGUCCCAAAUACCUCCGGGACUGAUAGGAUUGGGGCGGGUAAUAGCAUGCAAUAAGUAAAUGAGACCAUUCUGCAUUUUAGUACCUUAACGAGGUGGGAAAGUGUAGAUAUAGAUAUGAUGACCACGCGAUAACAUCUCGUAUAGCCCCUCUUUGAGGAGUGAUUACCGGAUGUUGUAUGGGGUGAUCCAUAUUAUUUAUAAACUAGGACCCCCCUUUCCUUUACUUGUUUAUUUCGUUGUUUACCUUUCAGAAUUUCAAACCGUUUUUUUCUCAAAUUUUAGCUUGCCUUUCACUUCUUUUAAUUUUAUCUAUUUGCAACCAUUAUGUGAAAACCCCCCUAAUAUUUGAAACUCUUACUUGCUUACUUAAAGUCACAAUUAUAGUAUGGCCGGGAACCACACUAGUGAAUUCUGAGGGGUGCCUAACACCUUCCCUUCGGGAUAAUUUCAAGCCCUUACCCAAUCUCUGGUUCUCUAAAUCAAACUCUUCUUAGUGUCCUAAUGCACUUUAAUCAUUAGGUGGUGACUCUUCUCUUUUAAUACCCGUUAAAAGAGUUGUCAAUGUCAUAAACCCGAUUUCGCGAGACAAAGGGGGCGCGACUAGGGGCCUGCCCAUUGAUUAUAGAUCGAUGGUAAUGAAAAUACUUUUAAUACUGUAUCUAUGUAACUUCUCUGCUCUCUUGACUGGAAGAAGGAAAUACUCAACUGAAUAUAAAAUCCCGAUAAGGAGAAUAUUAUAACUUACAACACUAGAAAAUAUACGCAAUUUGCGAGACUAGCAAAAUAUACGUAAAUUCCGGGAUAUGAAUGUAAUGACGAGAUCAUGCCAAAUGAAAGAAGAGCUUAGUCUUAACAUACCUGGAGUAGGGAAAACUCCGUAUAAUAUUCUCGAAAAAGAUUGCACCGAACACUUUUAGAACCAUACAAUUUUACGUUGCUAUGGUUUUAGCAAUUCUCGUUCGAAUUGUUUGGAUGCAAGAAUUUUUAUUGAGAUCUUUCUGGAUCGAGCUUGAACUCUAGAACCAUUUGGCUCCUGAUGCGAGCUCUUACUAUUUUCACUGAUCACAUGUGAAAAUGCGCCGCAAUAUAAUGAUGUUGUAGUAGUCAUUGUGACAGUCACUUGCCAGAUUCUAAGGAGAUAGCACAAGAAACAAACUGAAACUGGAAAGUCUACAAAGUGAUUCGGCAGCUAUAUAAGGUUAACCCCCUUUUUUGAUGUAGAAAUAUCAGCAAUGGGGCUAUGAAUAAUUUAUGGUUUUAA
This 6649-nucleotide long non-coding RNA is filed under the name Nicotiana tabacum (common tobacco). RNAcentral describes it as "long non-coding RNA (NTAB_LNC017099)". The record is from RNAcentral. Lineage: Eukaryota; Viridiplantae; Streptophyta; Magnoliopsida; Solanales; Solanaceae.